RNAcentral lists this long non-coding RNA (4174 nucleotides) under Trifolium pratense (red clover). Its description in RNAcentral is "long non-coding RNA (TPRA_LNC001532)". Lineage: Eukaryota; Viridiplantae; Streptophyta; Magnoliopsida; Fabales; Fabaceae. The record is from RNAcentral.
UUCAUGAUUUUAUUGUAAUUUAUAAAUAGAAUUAGAAGCAUAUAGGAGCACAUUGAGUUGUUGAAUAUAUGAUGUCAUUUGAUUAGAAAUAAACAAUAACAAAUAUAUGUUCCUGAAUUUUUCAUUCAAAUGGAAUUUAUAUCCCUUUCCAAAGGUAGGAAAAGGGAAAAAAUCUUUACAAAUCUAAAUGAUGACUAUUGUACAAAAUGUCUCUAUGUCAGUCUCUAUUUCUGUUGUGGAUUUAUAGUCCAUUCAAGCGAGAAGUGAUAUGCAAGAAAGCAUCUUCUGUGCAAGGAAUUGUGAGGCCACCCAUCGGAUGAUCGUAUCCAAAUUCUUCCUCUACUUGACUCAGCAAGUCUUGAAAUGACGGUUGGUUCAAGUAAGACAUAGGGAUCACAAACCGCUUCAUUUUUUCUCCAAUAUAGACUGCAAGAUAUCCUUUUGGGACAUUCACAGCUUUUGAAGAAGCACGUCUAAUGGCAGGUAAAAGGAAACCCAUUUCAAAUGUUUUGAAGAAUAGGUCGAGUUUUUCAGAUGUAAGAAAAAAGUAUCUAAGUUGUAAAGGAGGAAAGUGUAUUUAUAGUUUCAAGAGCUUCUUGAAAUUCAUUUGCUAGAGAAAUUAUUGGACUCAUGAGACAAGAGACCACAUGGUGCUGUCUUAGAAGAGUGAAAACCACGGGCGGCCACACAAAUAUAAAGAGCUAUGCUCAUUCCAACUCAGUAUUUUUCAAACAUGCAUCAGACAUGGCACAUGUUCUCUUCAUAUUGAUAACACAACUUAAUGCUGAUGAAUGGUCACCUCAAAUAUUAUGAGAAAUAUCAGUCAUACAUUACUAACACGCUAUUUAUAAAUUGUUGUUUCUCUAGACCAUGUUCAUGUAGGGCCUAGUUGGAGAAAAUGAAGGCUACGGUUCACAACAGCUUCCAAGUAGAUUUCAUGGUUUAUUGAUUAAAUUUCAAUCAAUAAUAGGCACAAGUUGUCCUAUCCUAUUGAAUCAAGGACAAAAUACUUGAUAAGUAUGUUNNNNNNNNNNNNNNNNNNNNNNNNNNNNNNNNNUCUUCAUUAAAAACCUCCAAGACAGUGCCAUGUGAUCAUUAAUGAGUCUUGUCUCCAACGAAACCCCAUUGGUUUCCAAAGUCUAUAUAUACACUCAUCAUUGGGUUUAUAAGCAACACAAAUCAUUCUUACCAGAAUUCAAGCUCAAUUUUUUUCUUCUAUUACUUCUUUGAGAUCAUUUGGUGUGUGUAGAAACAAAACAAUAAUGGGUUUUCGCUUACCUGGUAUUAGACGAUCAUCAUCUAGCAAACAAAUGGAAGUGCCAAAAGGCUAUCUUGCAGUGUAUGUUGGAGAGAAAAUGAAGAGGUUCUUGAUUCCAGUAUCAUUCUUGAAUGAGCCUUUAUUUCAAGAAUUGCUAAGCCAAUCUGAAGAGGAAUUCGGUUACAGUCAUCCAAUGGGUGGUCUUACAAUUCCCUGCAAUGAAGAUGUCUUCUUACAUACAGCUUCUCGCUUGAACAACUUGUAACUUGUUCAUACUGCAAAAUAGUCAAAUGAAUUAUAACAUAAGCAUAGCACAGUAGGAUAGACUAGUUGAGACAACUUUUGUACAUGAGGAAUUUCUUUCUCAAUUUUGCUGUUCCUUCUUAAGUGGGAAUUUGAAAUGAGAAUUUAUCAAACUCUAUUCUUCUGAAUUCAUCUGUUGUUUUUGUGUCAUCUAAAAUACUUUCAUUGCAGAAACACAAGCUAUGUACUAAUUUUACGGAUACUGUCUAUUACAUACUAGUAGGUACAUGGUAAUGCAAAAUUGAUGCAAAAUUGGUAUGUGUUACGAGUUCAUAGAACAAAACUCUAAACAAAUAAAUUUUUAAACCAAAACCUUUCUUAUCCUAUAAAGAUUUUCAACUUGAUUGGAACAUAUCACAUAAUAAAACUUCUUAUCAAUUAAUUAUUAAGUUGGAUUUUUCUGGUAAUAAGACGUCAAAGUUGAAGUCCUAAAACACAAAAUUAUCGUCAAGGCACCUUUUAAUACAUUGCCGCCUCAACUAUUCAUGAAAGUGUAUGUUAGCUGAGAGUCGAAACUAAGCCAAAAAAAGUUGUUAAAAGUCAUCUCAAUUCUGUAAAUCUAUAGAAACUCAUCCAAACUAGGCCGUACUGUCUUGCCUACUUAUGUAUGUUUAUCAAUUUUAAAUGGAGAGCUUUGACUUGUCUGAUACUUGGGCAGUAAGUCAUCAACUGUAUGAUAGUUUGGCUCUGAUACUUGAGCAAUAGUCCUCUUUAUAGUCAUGCCAAAGCAGUUGUUUUUAUACUUUCUUUAAAAGACUACAUUUAUCUAAAAUGGAAUAUACAGGAAUGUUGAAAUUAAGAAUUCAAUUUUCAGGAUACAUACAAUAUUUCUAUUACUUGUAGGUUCAAACAUGUACUGCUAUCUUCUGACUACUAACCAAUCCUUUGAUGAAGGUUCACUGUUGCCUCCUAACAUAAGUAUUUCAAACUCACUCCUUAAUUAAAUCAUAAUCACAUAACAUGAAGUGUACAGUAACUCAACAAAGGUGUCAACUCUACACUGUCGCUAGCUAUACAUUUUUGUCAAAAUAGCUGGACCCUUUGUUUUAUGUAUGUAUGAUUGUAUUGGCAUGGUUUGAGUGUGAGGGACAAAGUUUCUUAUUGGUUUUUAUCAUCCGAAACAUAACUCACUGAGAGGGAGUCUUUGCUUCUGCGAAGGAAGGUUGAGUGUGAGGGACUUAAUGCUUGAGUUAUGGAUAUCCAUAUUUUUUUAGACAUGCAUUAGACACGUCACAUGUUCUCUUCUCGAGAUAUAGCUCAAUCUCAAGAUAUAGAAACAAAAACUUCUCUUAGUGAUGAAUUUUAAGUCAAAUAAUAGCUACAAAUAUAAGAUAUACUGCCAUGAAUAAAAGACCAACUGAGAUGGCUGGACCCAGAGAGCUGGCAAUGGAAGACUUUUCAUAAUUGGGUCAAGAAGUGGUAAACCAGAACUCUAUUAUUUGAUUUGAUGGGUUUAGCUUCUGUUUUAGGCUCUAAUUAAUUGUGUGUCUAUAACAUUAAUACAUGCUUUGUGCAGACUCUAAAUCUGUUGGUAUAUAAGUUGGGGAAAUGAGAUGGAUGAGUCCAUGAAAUUUGGUUCCACAAUUGUAGCAGACAUUUACUAAAACAGCUAAAAGUAAAAAGUCUUCCUUAGAGUGAUUACACAUUUUUUUCCACAAUCCUAUAAUGAGUGCAAAUGGAGUAUAUCCUUUUUAUCAUUACACUUUUUCAUAGGUUGGGUUUGCGUAAGUUGAUGAUAUUUGGAGGAGCUUGUUAUUAUUUAUUAGGGUAAUUGCACUGCCUUGUUGAAGAAGCAAUUGAUAGAAGCACAAGGCAUGUAAAAAAUUGUGAGCUUAUAUACAAGAUAUAUAGCUUAUCAACUAUUAGAGUUUGGAUGAACGUUUUAUUAGGUCAGAGAAGUUUGCAGGAAUAUUCUAGCUCAAUUUUGUGCACAGCACAUACCCUACUAUCAUCAUUAUAAUAAACCAAGGAAAACUGGAUAUUGUAUAAUAAUUUAUUUCUCUUUUCCAAGGAAUCACUGGUUUUAUAAUUUAUAAAUAGAAUCAUAUAGGAGCAAAUUGAGUUGUUGAAAUAUAUUGUCAUUAUAAUUAGAAACAAAUAAUAACAUGAUUUGUUCCUGAAUUUGUCAUUCAGAUGGACAAUUCUAACCCAUUCCAAAGAUAGGAAAAGGCAAAAAAAAAACUUCACAAAUCUAAAUGAUGACUAUUGUACAAAAUUUUCCGGCUAAUCUAUGUUUCUCUGGUUACUGCUAAUCUAUGUUUCAGUGUAAGAUUUAGAGUCUAUUGAAGCCAGAAGUAAUAUGCAAGAAAAUUUCUUCUGUGCACGGAAUUGUGAGACCACCCAUUGAAUGAUCAUAUCCGGACUCUUCUUCUGCUUGACUCAGCAAGUUUUGAAAUGAAGGUUGGUUCAAGUAUGAGGUGGGGCCGUUUCAUUUCCUCUCCGACGUACACUGCAAGAUAGCCCUUUGGGACAUUGAAUACUUUUGAUGAGGUUUGGCUAUUGCUAAAUGAAGCCCGUCUAAUAGCUGCAGGUAAACGGAAACCCAUUUCAAAUGUUUUGAAGAACAAGCUGAAUUUCUCAGAUGUAAUGAAAAUGUAUCUAAGUUUGUUUUCU